RNAcentral lists this ribosomal RNA (465 nucleotides) under uncultured bacterium. RNAcentral describes it as "bacterial SSU rRNA". It matches the Rfam family "Bacterial small subunit ribosomal RNA", at positions 198 to 644 of the family's 1533-position model. The record is from RNAcentral.
GGAGGAAAGUAGGGGAUCGCAAGACCUUGCGCUUUUUGAGCGGCCGAUGCCUGAUUAGCUAGUUGGUAAGGUAAUGGCUUACCAAGGCAACGAUCAGUAGCUGGUCUGAGAGGACGACCAGCCACACUGGGACUGAGACACGGCCCAGACUCCUACGGGAGGCAGCAGUGGGGAAUUUUGGACAAUGGGCGAAAGCCUGAUCCAGCCAUGCCGCGUGAGUGAAGAAGGCCUUCGGGUUGUAAAGCUCUUUCGGUCGGGAAGAAAUAGUUGUGGCUAAUAUCCACAAUGAAUGACGGUACCGACAUAAGAAGCACCGGCUAACUACGUGCCAGCAGCCGCGGUAAUACGUAGGGUGCAAGCGUUAAUCGGAGUUAUUGGGCGUAAAGGGUGCGCAGGCGGUUGUAUAAGUCAGAUGUGAAAUCCCUGGGCUUAACCUAGGAAUUGCGUUUGAAACUACAAAGCUAG